GAAUGCAAGUAUAACAUGUGUGGAGAUGAACCCCUUAGCUAGCUUUCCAUCCAUUCAUUUAAAUCAAAUUCGUUUUAAAAUCUGCUCUAGUUUACAAAGUUUUGUUUUGUUUUUAAAUUCGUCCAAGUUUGUGUCUAGUGUUCAAAACUGCCUAGAUUGUGUUUUUAAGGCAGUUUUGAGUGUUUUGGUGCUGUUUUGAGUCUUUUGGUUUGUUUUGGUAUUUUAAAGUUUAGCUUUGCAUUCUUUGAGUCUAGUUUAGUGUUUUAAACUUGUUUUUAUGUAAUUGAGUCAGUUUUCAAGUGAUUUUGCAAUCCCUCCUAAUCCUCGGCCUAGAACAAUCCCUACUUCCAUACUUACUACAAUUGAUAAAAAGAGGGUUAAUUUGAGUGCUAGUUAAUUUUCACAUCAAUCAGCAACCAAAUUAUUCUUCCCAAGUUCCCUACAUGAACUGCAUAAUAGAGACAUAAGCAAAGAUCAUUAAGCUCUGUGAAAAUCAUAAGCAUUGACAAGGCAUUCGUAACUAUGACAUUAUGAUACUCUUGCCAGGAAUUUAACAUAACACGAUCGUGACCAGCGACCUUCACUACUUAUGAAUAUAAGUUCGUAAAGAUUAUGUGAAACUCCCUUAUAUCCUAGCAUGAAAUUCAUGCAUGCAAACUAAGUGUGCACCCUUAAUCAACAUACAAGAAUAAGUUCUGAAUCAAACAGUUAAGUAAAUUGCAUUCACGAUUUAUAAAAUCACAACUGGAAGUAAUCAAUUCAUAUUGCAAAUAUAUUCAUGGCUUUGAAUUUCCCCUAGCUAAAACGAGUUUAGCUCCUCAUGUUCGCAAAACAAAGAUAAAUUAAACUAAACAUUGGAAACAAAGGAUGGAUUACACCUAAAAACGUUCCAACAAUCCAACUUGUAUGGCAAGCACGUCCAAGGGUCCUCCUUCUUCUUUUUUUGUUGCGGCACAAGGUGUGGGUGAAGGUUUGAGUGAUGAAUUGUAUGGAAGAAUGGCUGAAAGUAUGAAUGGUAGUGAAUGGUGUGGCAAGGGCCUAUAUUUAUAGGGGAAGGAAAGGGCACGACUGGGAAUUAACUUGGGAAUGUUUAAGACUCCAAAUCCUCCAAGAAAAGGCUAAGUAAAUCAGAAUCCAAGAGGGAAAAGGGAAAGAAGAUGUGGCAGAGAUUUGGAGAAAGGUAGGAUGCCUUGCACGGCAAGGAAAGGGUUUCUACCUUCUAGAAUUAGGUAAUUUAAGUCUCCUAAUUUAAUUAAAGAUCCUCCUUGUAGUUGGAAAUUAAGUGGUGAAGGAUUAGGAAAGUUUAGGACAAAAUAAGGUAACUUUGGCUAACAUUCCUUCUUUCUUGCUUGCAUCCUUUACUUCCUUUUCUUGAAUUAAUUUCUUCAUAACUUCAGCAUAAUCCUAGCCUCUUUUGGUCUUCAAGUUUGUCCAUCCACCUUGCUCCAUGCAUGUGCUAUCCAUUCCAAGCCCAAAACUACUCCAAAAUGCACCAAAAUGCACUUUCUUGCUACUUUAGCCCUUUGGACAUACAAACACACGAAAAUAGCUUAAAAUACUAAAAUAACUAGGAACUAAUAACAUAAAUGCAAGAAAACAAGCUAACUAAGUCGCAUAAAUAUGCUCCUAUCAUGAAACUACCUGGAUCUUUGCAUUUAGGUGGCAGUUUUCUUUGUAAAACUGCAGAGACAUUUUCACUUACCGGUACCAUUUCCUUUUUCGAGAUCCGUCUCCUUGUUGUACAAAGCUCUUUAAAAAAUUUAGCAUCAAGAAGUGGGAUAUUGACUUGUACCUUCUUGAUGUGAAAUUAAACCAGCACACAAAUUAAACCCUCUUUUUGACAAUUGUAGUAUGGAUAAAUAGGGAUCGUUCUAGGUCGGGGAUUAGGAGGGACUGCUAAUCUACUCAAAUUAGACUCAAUUUUACUUAACUAGACUUAAAAACACUAAACUAGACUCUUAUGACUCAAAACUACCUCAAAAUACUACAAACUACACAAAACAAACAAAUUGACUCAAAACAGAAACUAAAGGGUGAUUUGCAUGAAAAUUAAACUAAAAAGACUCAAAAUACUAAAUGGGGGGUUGUUUUGAUGAAUUUAAAACUUAAACUAAGUACUUGUAGACACAAACUAAAGCUAAUAUGAAAUUGGAUGUUUUUAAGAGGUGAAUGGCUAGCUAGAGGGUCCUUCUUCACACAUGACACAUGUACGAAUAGAUUUCCAGUUAGUCUUCCUAUAAACCAUGAAUGACAACACCCCAGAUUAACUAUGAACAUCACUAAUUAGCCCUUAGAUUUUCCUAAGUUCAUUAAAUUGGACUCAGUGUCGCAACCAAAUUAUUCUUAUCAAGUUCCCUGUUGGAAAUGUGCCCUAAAACCAAUUAUGUGAUGAUACUUUACGGACAUUUCACAUGUUAAACUAAUCUAGUUUAAUAU
This 2436-nucleotide long non-coding RNA is filed under the name Malus domestica (apple). Its description in RNAcentral is "long non-coding RNA (MDOM_LNC020294)". The record is from RNAcentral. Lineage: Eukaryota; Viridiplantae; Streptophyta; Magnoliopsida; Rosales; Rosaceae.